CAAAACUUCUGGAAUGGCAUAGGGGAUGAAUGGGGGAGAUACUAGACUUUUCGGCUCAAUUUCAAUGUGUUGAUAGCAGGGCAGACAACAGGGGAAGGAA
Long non-coding RNA from Dioscorea cayenensis subsp. rotundata (Guinea yam), 100 nucleotides. RefSeq lists it as uncharacterized. The transcript is spliced from 3 exons. NCBI's taxonomy places the organism in Eukaryota, Viridiplantae, Streptophyta, Magnoliopsida, Dioscoreales, Dioscoreaceae. The record is from RefSeq and is a predicted model, not a curated record.